This 1797-nucleotide ribosomal RNA is filed under the name Triticum aestivum (bread wheat). RNAcentral's name for it is "partial small subunit ribosomal RNA". The record is from RNAcentral. Lineage: Eukaryota; Viridiplantae; Streptophyta; Magnoliopsida; Poales; Poaceae.
AUGUCGCCGCUGUCACCCGCACGGCGGCUGUCGGUCCUCUCUCUCCUUCUCCUCCUACUCAUCCUAACCGCGGCGUCAUCUGCGGCGGCGGAGGAGGAGGAGUUCACGGAGGAGCUGCUCCUGCGGCCGCUCCCCGACCGCAAGGCGCUGGCCCACUUCCACUUCCGCUCCUCCAAGCCUCCCACCGCCGCCUCCGGCCGCCACCACCACCUCUUUCCGAAGGCCAUCUCCCAGCUGGUACAAAAAUUGCAUAUUAGUGAAUUGGAACUAUCUUUCACACAGGGAAGAUGGAACUAUGAGACAUGGGGUGGAUUUGAUCCACUGUCAACAGAUAAUGCAAAACCUCCUGGUGUUGAGCUAUGGGCAACUUUCAACCUCCCUUUUGCCGAUAUUGAUGCCACAUGGAAGAACCUGACGCACACAUUGUCAGGCAUGUUUUGUGCAUCAAUCAAUUUCUUGGAGUCUUCCACUGCCUUCUCUGCUCCUCGCUGGGGAUUUAAAUUGAAUGAAGGCAAACUCCGAUAUGGCGCAUUGCCUCGUGAAGCUGUUUGCACUGAGAAUCUCACGCCCUGGCUGAAACUUCUUCCAUGCCGUGACAAAGCUGGCAUCGCCUCUUUGUUUACGCAGCUACAUUCUACUGAUGGAAAGCUUCAGCCCAGUUGGUCCAUGGAACAUUUGUUCAACAGGAAAUUGUUGGGGAAAUGUCUUGUUUCUAAAUCCAGCAGGAUAUUUGUAGAAAUCGAGAAAGGUAUACUUGUCAAAUCUGGACCAGAAGUUUCUUGGAGUAAUAAAUUCUUUGAACUUUCCACUGCCCCAGACAGGGUGCUCAAAGAAUGGGAUCACUUGGAAGUUCAAUCAUCUUCAUUGUAUGAAUAUGAUCUUAGUAACUACAAUGAUGAUAAGCCUUUGGAUGUGGGCAUAACUUGGAAGCUUCCCCUCGUAUGGUCUUGCUUCCCUGCACCAUAUAAUGCAAGAAGAUUUCUUAUGGGUAGCGGAAACGAAAGAGGGUCUAUUGCUCUGUCAUUUUUAUCCACUGAUCUACAUAAGCAAUUGCCUGGCAGCUCAAAUGAUUGUUCGAUAAAGGCUGUAGUUCUCCAGAUGUUUCCAUGGUAUGUUAAGGUCUUCUAUCACAGCUUACAGAUUUUCAUUGAUGGGAGCAGCAAGGCUGUAACAGAAGUACUUGACAUGAUCCAUGUCACUCCUUCAGAAGACAAACUUUCGCCUGGAACUCUGGAGAUGCUGCUAAGAUUUCCUUGCAGCAUGCAAUCAGCUACCUUGAUAUUGGACUUUGACAAGGGGUUCCUACACAUAGACGAAUAUCCUCCUGACGCUAAUCAAGGAUUUGAUAUUCCAUCAGCUUUGGUUAGCUUUCCUGACUUUAAUUCUAGCCGAAGAUACCCUGAAAUUGACCCAAUGUUUGUGUCACCUUUGUUAGAAAAUUUUAAGGAAGAUAAUGUUGUGAAAUCCUACACAGAUGUGCUGCUUGUUCCCUUGACAACUCCUGAUUUCAGCAUGCCGUAUAAUGUUAUCACCUUCACUUGCACUGUCUUAGCUCUUUAUAUCGGCUCACUACUUAAUGCUUUGAGACGAAGAAUUGGUGAGGAAGAGUGCAGAUUGAGAAAAGCAGCCGUGAAGCCUGCACUCAUUCCUCUGUUGCUAGCUAGGCUAAGGGGUCACAAGGUCGACCCAUCAGAGUCAGAAUCCUCUCCUGCAUCUCCAGUAGGGUUAAAGCUACUAGUCAAGGUUGCACUUGUUGCGGCAGUAGCUGUUGUGUUUCACUAUCUGUCAAACAGUUGA